GAUGAGCGCUGGCGGCGUGCCUAAUACAUGCAAGUCGAGCGAACAGACGAGGCGCUUGCCUCUCUUCAGUUAGCGGCGGACGGGUGAGUAAUACGUGGAUAACCUACCUUUAAGGCUGGGGUCACUUCGGGGAACCGGAGCCCACACCCGAUAAUAUAUUGAACCUCAUGGUUCUACAGUCCACGCCCGUUUUGCUGUUCCUUAUUAGUGGUACCGCGCCGGAUUAGCUAGUUGGUAAGGUAACGGCUUACCAAGGCAACGAUGCGUAGCCGACCUGAGAGGGUGAUCGGCCACACUGGAACUGAGACACGGUCCAGACUCCUACGGGAGGCAGCAGUAGGGAAUCUUCCGCAAUGGGCGAAAGCCUGACGGAGCAACGCCGCGUGAGUGAUGAAGGUCUUCGGAUCGUAAAACUCUGUUAGUAGGGAAGAACAAAUGUGUAAGUAACUAUGCACGUCUUGACGGUACCUAAUCAGAAAGCCACGGCUAACUACGUG
RNAcentral lists this ribosomal RNA (497 nucleotides) under uncultured bacterium. RNAcentral's name for it is "partial 16S ribosomal RNA". It matches the Rfam family "Bacterial small subunit ribosomal RNA", at positions 28 to 507 of the family's 1533-position model. The record is from RNAcentral.